This is a long non-coding RNA of Betta splendens (Siamese fighting fish), 803 nucleotides long. RefSeq lists it as uncharacterized. The transcript has 2 exons. NCBI's taxonomy places the organism in Eukaryota, Metazoa, Chordata, Actinopteri, Anabantiformes, Osphronemidae. The record is from RefSeq and is a predicted model, not a curated record.
GCACGAUCCUAGGAGGCUUCUUCAGAGCGCGCAGCCGGCGUCGCCGAGGAUCCGAUGGAGAAGGCGCGGCCGGUCCCCGCCGCUGGCAUCGUCGGCAGACAAAAGCGCAGGAAUAAUCGCCAAAUUAGCCGCGUCGGAUGGUCUCUGCCACGUGGGACUGGAGAGAAAGGAGGAGUCGACACCUGCGCUAAGGUCUGGACCCCAUGUAAGCACGACCAAAGGUUGUUUGGACCCGGCGGAACUUUUUUACUGUAAAAUAAAGCAAACGCAAAUGAUGUCCCUCACUGGAUUUGACUGGAGUCUAAAGUCAUAAGACACAAAGGUGUUGUAUAUUCAAUGUACUUGAACCUCUGCUGGAACUGAGCUCCACAGCCAAGAGUCACUGAAAAGUCAUUCGGCCAUUUUACAUUUCACUGUUGCGUCUCCUGCUUAUGUUAAUAUAUGCAGAGUCACAUUUGCAUAAAUAACUAUUGCUCAUAACAACAGCUGUGCUCUCAACAAAGACUUAACAGUGGACGUUUAGCACCAGUGGCUUCUCCUCCAGACGAAGAACCGCUGGACUGAGCCUGAAAGACUCGGGUCUCUGUCUUGACAGGAAUUUUAUGCACUUUUACCUCCUCCUUUAUUUUCCUAAUUAUUUGUAUUGGGUUUAAAAAGCGGAGACGUCAGCUCUGCCGUGAAAACCGAUGAUUAUCACUGACAAGAAGAUUCACGAUGAAAGCGGCUCUGAAUCGCUUCAUCAUUUUGGACUUUCUAAACCCACUGUGUUUGCCCACAGGCAAUAAAACAUCCAAGUGUCAGCA